CAUAUCCCAGGAUACAUCGCAGUCCCACAAUUCGAAAAGUAAGCUGAGAUCAUUUUUUGACAAACAUCAAAUUAUACAACAUAUUUGCAAUGAGUUUAUGGUUAUAUCCGGAUCUAGUUUUUUUUUGAGAGUUUAAAUAGCGUAUAGCUUGUUAAAUAGUGAGGUAAAAGACCGUUUAAUCCCAUAGUAACGUAAUCACGCGACGGUUAAGAUGCACAUGCAACACAGUCAUGUAGUUUUGUUAAACUGCUGUGCCUUUAUUUAGACAUUCAUGGAUCCUACAGUAUGACAAAACUCCACGUGCGUCCUUUGUUUUUAGUAAGCAGAACAGGUUUGCACGAACGCUAUGAGAUCAAGCGGCUCAGCUGUUUUCACAAGACAGAAUCCAUUUCCUCCGGAUCCCCCUUUGUCCAGGAGCCACUACAGUCCAUCUAAAUCCAGAAAAAUCCCAAAGCAACAAAAAAGACUGGUCUUGAGUCCUGUCCGGUUUUCUGAGUCACCCAGUCCUUCAGAUCUACCUACUCGGGUGUCACCUUUGAGGACGGAGGACCAGGUCUUCCAUGAAAGAUCACGUAGUGUCCUGCACUGUCCUCCUUCUACUCAGUGCCAGCUGAGCUACUCCGAGUCUUGGCCUUCUACUGACCUGAGUUGCUCUACAGACAACGUUAACACUUCUGUCUGCUCUGAAGCUCAGCUACAAGCCAUGAGAAACAUGGUUGCACCAAGAAUAAUUGAGGCAAAGGAACCCUCAGUUCUGGCAAAGUACAUUGAACGCUUCCGUUUCGGAAAGCCACAGAGUCGAGACGAAAGAUGCCUUCAGGCAACUGAUGCAGAAGAUGACCAGCCGUUUUGGUGGAUGUCCACAUCCCCUCCAUCCAGUUCAACACCAACACACCCAUCAGAGAAAUAUAUCAGAGCACCACUUGACCUCAUGAAGGAUGGCCCCGCCAGCACCCAGAGCCCAAUCUCAAAGCCACUGCAUGAUGAAACCACGCUGUCUCCAGCUAGACACAUGCUUGACCUUAGUAUGCUGGUGAGUUUUGCAUGAAAUUGAAUAACUGAUUUGCCUAGAAAAGCUGACGGCAUUUUGA
This is a long non-coding RNA of Sinocyclocheilus grahami, 1091 nucleotides long. The record is from Ensembl. Lineage: Eukaryota; Metazoa; Chordata; Actinopteri; Cypriniformes; Cyprinidae.